Molecule: long non-coding RNA, 612 nt
Filed under: Bos taurus (domestic cattle)
Lineage: Eukaryota; Metazoa; Chordata; Mammalia; Artiodactyla; Bovidae
Description: long non-coding RNA NONBTAT011931
Source: RNAcentral
ACUUGAGUCCAUAUGAAUUUUUAUUAACACACAUUUUUCAAAGUCUGUACAAACCAAAACAUUCCUGUGUUUUAAAAUGUCCAUUAUUACAAACAUACAAAUAAACAAAAGGUGUUACCAAAAGUUAGCUACUCAAUUUUAUGGUAAAACAGUAUCAUGAUUUUUAAAAACCAAAAUUUCAAGACAGAGGUUUCUUCCUUCUCUUUUUGGAACUCGUGGAAAGUUAGAAAAUGUAUGGAUUUGCUUUAUAUUAAAUGCCAAGACCUUAAAAAAAGAUUUAGUAUAAAACUAAAUAUGUUUUUACAUUGUCACUUCAGGUAACAGAAUUUCUCAAGUCAUCUGAAGGAAGCCACUCAUUUCCAUGUCUCUGUCCAAUUAAGUGCAUGGCUCCACUCGUGAGAAUGUUCACCAAUUAGAAGCCUUUGCUCCUGGAAAAUGCCUAGUAAGUUAAACUUACUGCUGCACUUCUGGUAGUCUGAGGUACAAAUGUCAUCUGCCCUUAUGAUUACCUCUAACUCCAGUAUCGCCCCCUGCGUUAAAGGAUUCCAAAGUAGCUGGUUUUACUGUUUCAUGGCACACCACACAUCUCUAAUUUCUUUCACAAACAUCACA